This 253-nucleotide ribosomal RNA is filed under the name uncultured bacterium. RNAcentral describes it as "partial 16S ribosomal RNA". It matches the Rfam family "Bacterial small subunit ribosomal RNA", at positions 524 to 776 of the family's 1533-position model. The record is from RNAcentral.
UACGGAGGGUGCAAGCGUUAUCCGGAUUUACUGGGUUUAAAGGGUGCGCAGGCGGAUAUGUAAGUCAGUGGUGAAAUCUCUAGGCUUAACCUGGAAAUUGCCGUUGAUACUAUAUAUCUUGAAUGUUGUUGAGGUGAGCGGAAUAUGUCAUGUAGCGGUGAAAUGCUUAGAUAUGACAUAGAACACCAAUUGCGAAGGCAGCUCACUAAGCAAAUAUUGACGCUGAGGCACGAAAGCGUGGGGAUCAAACAGG